Long non-coding RNA from Sparus aurata (gilthead seabream), 749 nucleotides. NCBI's taxonomy places the organism in Eukaryota, Metazoa, Chordata, Actinopteri, Spariformes, Sparidae. The record is from Ensembl.
ACAGUGAAAACACAAUUUCUAUUUUUAUUUUAUUCUUGUACAUGUCCUUUUUUUAUUAUAUGUAAAACAUGACAAUGAAAACGUUGUUGUGUUUGUAGUUGUUCGUGUCAAUAAAGCUUUAUUGAAUUGAGGAGAGAGACAGAGAGAACGACAGAGAGAGAGAGAGACAUAGAGAGAGAGAGAGAGAGAGAGAGAGAUGACCACGGAGUUAACGGAAGCUAGAAAUUUUGAAUUUCAGUUCACCGCCAUUUCUUCGCGCCCACAGGAGCAGUGUUUGUUGUUGUGACAGAGAGACAGACACACAGACAGACAGACAGAUAGAUAGAUAGAUAGAUAGAUAGAUAGAUAGAUAGAUAGAUAGAUACAGACAGACAGACAGACACACAGACAGAAAGAGAAGAGAGAGAGAGAGAGAGAGAGAGGACCGCGAGUAAACGGAAGCUUGACAUUUCAGGUCACCGCCAUUUCUUCGCGCCCACAGGAGCAGAGUCUCUUCUUCAGCACGGUGCAGCUGGAUAGUGCAAGGCAAUCAACUUUGCAGGAAUGCAGUAUGGCCAGUACUCUGAUUCGUCGUCAUCGUUAUCAGCACUCAGCUUCAGUGAGUACAUUUAAAUAGAUUGGCUUCUGAACUGGUGCUGCCAUUAAAUGUUUUUGUUUCUUCAUACCUGUCAAAUACUUACAUGGCCACAUCAAUAAUUAUAUCUCCCAUAUAUGUCUACUACCCUGUUAUCUGGAGUUCCUUAAGUGUA